This 219-nucleotide unclassified non-coding RNA is filed under the name plant metagenome. RNAcentral's name for it is "partial contains small subunit ribosomal RNA, internal transcribed spacer 1, and 5.8S ribosomal RNA". The record is from RNAcentral.
UCUCCGUUGGUGAACCAGCGGAGGGAUCAUUACUGAGUUUACAACUCCCAAACCCAUGUGAAUCAUACCUAUCGUUGCUUCGGCGGGAGUGCCCCGGCGCCUCUGUGCCCGGAAUCAGGCGCCCGCCGGAGGCCCCAAACUCUUGUUUUACCUCUGGUAUCAUCUGAGUGGCGUAAGCAAAAUAAAUUAAAACUUUCAACAACGGAUCUCUUGGUUCUG